GUCCAGCUGGCUCAGUUCGUGGAGCGUGUGACUCCUGAUUUCAGGGUUGUGAGUUCAAGCCCCGUGUUGGGUG
RNAcentral lists this transfer RNA (73 nucleotides) under Ailuropoda melanoleuca (giant panda). It matches the Rfam family "tRNA". From Rfam's summary of the family: Transfer RNA (tRNA) molecules are approximately 80 nucleotides in length. Their secondary structure includes four short double-helical elements and three loops (D, anti-codon, and T loops). Lineage: Eukaryota; Metazoa; Chordata; Mammalia; Carnivora; Ursidae. The record is from Rfam by way of RNAcentral.